Non-coding RNA from Mycobacterium triplex, 69 nucleotides. The record is from Rfam. NCBI's taxonomy places the organism in Bacteria, Bacillati, Actinomycetota, Actinomycetes, Mycobacteriales, Mycobacteriaceae.
CUUGAUCGACCCCAACCACAGCGGCUCGCCGCGAUCCUGGCCGUACGUCGCCAACAACGCUUGCGCCUC